CAUUUGCAUGUGUGAUAGCAAGACCUGAGGGCCAAAACCAACAGGAGACGAUCUCAGAACUUGCAGCAAGGCCUCCACUUGCUGCACUAACACGUCCCCAUUGGAGGGGGGGUGACAGGGGUCCACAGCUCAGUCCCCUCCUCAUUAGCUGCUCACAGGGGCUACCUCCUGAUGCCUCUAUCCCUAGGCCCUCAGCCCAUCAUGUGCAAGAACGGUGGUCAAGGGAGCAUGGUGUGAACACUGCUGAAUCCUGGAAGGAUGGAGAGACAGAUGAACAAUGGCUCAUCGGCGACACCUGGAGCCGAUUAAGGGGGCAUGGCAUAAGAGGGCAUCCCGGAGACCACACCGUGCGGAUCCUCCUUGGAGCAACAGCAGUGUCUGUCCUUUGGUUUCUUCUGAUGUACUUAUCUUUCCUGGUUUUGACUCUUGCUUUCUGUUUUGCCCAACUAUGUCCCUGUCCCAUUCCCUGGAUAACAUUUGCUGUUCGCUUGACCUGUGCCUGUCCCUGGAUUUUGCUUCUGACUACCCCUUUGGAUUUUGUUGCCCUUCGAAUGAAAGACGAGCACGCACUUGAGUCCGUUGUUCUAUUCUGUCCGUUAACCAUGACACACUAUGUGUGAUAUAAAUCAUCAAACAUGAGAAGACCUAUAAAAGCCAUUUUAAUCCAAUAAGGGGGUAUUUCAUUACAGAGGGGGUGUCACGUGGCACUGCAGGACUUGGAGUGGCGCAGCAUCAUGCCGCUGUAGCCAUGCAUUAAAUUAAAAGUGAGAGGCUCCAAGAGACUGCAUUUCCUGUGGCCAAAAACAAGGUUCCCGCGUUUCUCCCAUAAAGAGCAGAACAUAAAACAGGCACUUAAUGCAAUGUUUCUCUGCUCAUUUGAUCAAUGGAAAUGAGCCCAACUCUCACGUGUCAUACACACUCCAGUGCCCCAUUACUGCUGCUUAUCAUCUCUUCCGCUGAUUUACAUCUUUUAUUUUAUUUUUUAAGGGUCCAGCCAAAGGGUCCUAUUGAGCAUUUGGACCUACAGCUUUCGCAGAACACCACCCAUGCAUAUGUGCCCUUUCUUCCUUUCAUUGUUUAUAUCACUUUAUGAGUUUAUUUUUAAUCGUGUUUCCAGUGUGUAUGUGAAGUUUCUGCUCUGAGAUAUCUCUUCUGCUGUAGAAUUUACCCUGGACCUGAGUGGUUGGUCCCAUGUUUACCUCCUCCCACCCUACAACCUAUAAUCAUCACUAGACAUCAAUUAAUUUUAAAGACAUGAUCCCCCACUUUAUGCAAAUAAGGCCUGUCUGUGUGUAUACAUUAAGUCGGCCCCCAAUCCCCUACAAUCUCAUCUCAUUUGCAUUUUCUGUACGAGUUGCAUUGUUUUAUUUCAACUAUAAUUGGAUUUUAAAAGAUCACAGAGAAAUAGCAAGGUUUUGGCCAAAGAGCACAGGAUUGGGGUCCACACACAAACACACACACACACAAACACACACACACACACACACACAGAGCUGAUCUCCUUCACCCCUCCUGUUCAUUUCAUGUAUCCAGGGCUAUCUUAUUCAAGGAAAAUCACAGCUUCACGAUAAAUUCCAGUCAUAUGAUUCCACAUGAAAUUUUAUCAUUUUAAAUUUAUCUGACACUGUUCUCCAAAGCAACUGAGUGUUAGGCUCUUUGCACUGUUUAACUCAUUUAUACAGGAGGGUAUCGGUUGAUGGUAAUAAAUCUGAUCAAGGUACUACA
Molecule: long non-coding RNA, 1725 nt
Organism: Scleropages formosus (Asian bonytongue)
Lineage: Eukaryota; Metazoa; Chordata; Actinopteri; Osteoglossiformes; Osteoglossidae
Source: Ensembl